This 253-nucleotide ribosomal RNA is filed under the name uncultured bacterium. Its description in RNAcentral is "partial 16S ribosomal RNA". It matches the Rfam family "Bacterial small subunit ribosomal RNA", at positions 524 to 776 of the family's 1533-position model. The record is from RNAcentral.
AACGUAGGAGACGAACGUUAUCCGGAGUUACUGGGCGUAAAGGGCGUGUAGGCGGUUUGUUAAGUCUGGCGUGAAAGCUCUCGGCUAAACCGGGAGAGGUCGUUGGAUACUGGCGAACUUGAGGAUGGUAGAGGCGUGUGGAAUUCCGGGUGUAGUGGUGAAAUGCGUAGAGAUGUGGAGGAACACCGAUGGCGAAGGCAGCCUUCUGGGCCAACACUGACGCUCAUGCACGAAAGCGUGGGGGGCAAACAGG